RNAcentral lists this ribosomal RNA (468 nucleotides) under uncultured bacterium. RNAcentral describes it as "partial 16S ribosomal RNA". It matches the Rfam family "Bacterial small subunit ribosomal RNA", at positions 28 to 507 of the family's 1533-position model. The record is from RNAcentral.
GACGAACGCUGGCGGCGUGCUUAAUACAUGCAAGUCGAACGGAAAGGCCCUGCUAUUGUGGGGUGCUCGAGUGGCGAAAGGGUGAGUAACACGUGAGUAACCUGCCCUUGACUUCGGGAUAACUUCAGGAAACGGGGGCUACUACCGGAUAGGAGCUCCUGCUGCAUGGUGGGGGUUGGAAAGUUUCGGCGGUGGGGGAUGGACGCGCGGCUUAUCAGCUUGUUGGUGGGGUAGUGGCUUACCAAGGCUUUGACGGGUAGCCGGCCUGAGAGGGUGACCGGCCACAUUGGGCCUGAGAUACGGCGCAGACUCCUACGGGAGGCAGCAGUGGGGAAUAUUGUACAAUGGGCGGAAGCCUGAUGCAGCAACGCCGCGUGCGGGAUGACGGCCUUCGGGUUGUAAAACGCUUUCGCCUGUGACGAAGCGUGAGUGACGGUAAUGGGUAAAGAAGCACCGGCUAACUACGUG